This 466-nucleotide ribosomal RNA is filed under the name uncultured bacterium. RNAcentral's name for it is "partial 16S ribosomal RNA". It matches the Rfam family "Bacterial small subunit ribosomal RNA", at positions 28 to 507 of the family's 1533-position model. The record is from RNAcentral.
GAUGAACGCUGGCGGCGUGCUUAACACAUGCAAGUCGAACGAUGAAGCCCAGCUUGCUGGGUGGAUUAGUGGCGAACGGGUGAGUAACACGUGAGUAACCUGCCCUUAACUCUGGGAUACGCCUGGGAAACUGGGUCUAAUACCGGAUAGGAGCGCCUACCGCAUGGUGGGUGUUGGAAAGAUUUAUCGGUUUUGGAUGGACUCGCGGCCUAUCAGCUUGUUGGUGCGGUAAUGGCUCACCAAGGCGACGACGGGUAGCCGGCCUGAGAGGGUGACCGGCCACACUGGGACUGGGACACGGCCCAGACUCCUACGGGAGGCAGCAGUGGGGAAUAUUGCACAAUGGGCGAAAGCCUGAUGCAGCGACGCCGCGUGAGGGAUGACGGCCUUCGGGUUGUAAACCUCUUUCAGUAGGGAAGAAGCGAAAGUGACGGUACCUGCAGAAGAAGCACCGGCUAACUACGUG